This 795-nucleotide long non-coding RNA is filed under the name Phascolarctos cinereus (koala). Its description in RNAcentral is "lncRNA (ENSPCIG00000033019.1)". The record is from RNAcentral. Lineage: Eukaryota; Metazoa; Chordata; Mammalia; Diprotodontia; Phascolarctidae.
CAUCACUUCACCAGUAAUGCUCUCAGCUUAAAAAUACUUCAACCAUCUAGUUGUUAUUACAUCUGGAUUCUCCCCAUUGGAUAAUCAUUCUUAGAUUGCACAUUGGUUAAAAUUGAGGCCAUUGAUAUAAUUUUAAAAUCUUAAUUUUUCUUUGCCAUAUACUUAAUUGGAGCCUUGCUUUCUACUUGUCUAAAUCCCAUCUCCCUUGAAAGAAGUCAUCAAUGGUAAUUUUCCCUUCUGAAAGCUUCGUGGACUUCUUCUGCUCCAGAAGAUUUUCUUCAGUUGGGAUGAGUCACACACAGCCUCUUGAUAAAGCUGAUGCAGCUGCUCCACCUGAUGAGUUAGCAACUGGAUCUCUUACUGAAGGACAUCAGUUCUCUGCAAGGAAACUACAAAAAAUUCAAAGGCAUAUAUCUGAUUACCUAUUUAAUAAAGGAACUCGUGACUAUGGCCCUGAUGUUGUGAAGAAAGGAGGCAGCCAGGCUUCUUUGCCAAAGAUGGGAUGUUAACUGAGACUUGAAGAAAGCCAGGGAAGCCAGGAGGUGAAGAUGAGAAGGAGGGAGUGGGAGUGUUCCAGGCAUUUGGAGGGGGGAAGAGAAGGAUGGUUAAGAUAAAUGCUUAAAAAGUCAAGUGUGUGUCUUCUUUAAGGAACACCAAAGUAAGGAGAACAAUCAUUUGAUGGCAGGGGGUGUGUGUGUGUGUGUAGGGAGGUUUGGUAGGAAUGGUGCAAUUUAAAGACAGGAAGUUCUUCAACUUAUAAGACGUAGGGUUUAAACUAGUUUGUAAGAACGGAAA